GAUGAACGCUGGCGGCGUGCCUAACACAUGCAAGUCGAACGGAAAGGCCCAAGCUUGCUUGGGUACUCGAGUGGCGAACGGGUGAGUAACACGUGGGUGAUCUGCCCUUCACUUCGGGAUAAGCCUGGGAAACUGGGUCUAAUACCGGAUAGGACGAUGGUUUGGAUGCCAUUGUGGAAAGUUUUUUCGGUGUGGGAUGAGCUCGCGGCCUAUCAGCUUGUUGGUGGGGUAAUGGCCUACCAAGGCGUCGACGGGUAGCCGGCCUGAGAGGGUGUACGGCCACAGUGGGCAUGAGCUACGGCCCAGACUACUACGGGAGGCAGCAGUGGGGAAUAUUGCACAAUGGGCGCAAGCCUGAUGCAGCGACGCCGCGUGGGGGAUGACGGCCUUCGGGUUGUAAACUCCUUUCGCUAGGGACGAAGCGUUUUUGUGACGGUACCUGGAGAAGAAGCACCGGCUAACUACGUG
Molecule: ribosomal RNA, 468 nt
Filed under: uncultured bacterium
Lineage: Bacteria
Description: partial 16S ribosomal RNA
Rfam family: Bacterial small subunit ribosomal RNA
Source: RNAcentral